Molecule: ribosomal RNA, 572 nt
Filed under: Hanseniaspora sp. RV3
Lineage: Eukaryota; Fungi; Ascomycota; Saccharomycetes; Saccharomycodales; Saccharomycodaceae
Also listed under: 1 other name
Description: eukaryotic LSU rRNA
Rfam family: Eukaryotic large subunit ribosomal RNA
Source: RNAcentral
AAACCAACUGGGAUUACCUUAGUAACGGCGAGUGAAGCGGUAAAAGCUCAAAUUUGAAAUCUGGUACUUUCAGUGCCCGAGUUGUAAUUUGUAGAAUUUGUCUUUGAUUAGGUCCUUGUCUAUGUUCCUUGGAACAGGACGUCAUAGAGGGUGAGAAUCCCGUUUGGCGAGGAUACCUUUUCUCUGUAAGACUUUUUCGAAGAGUCGAGUUGUUUGGGAAUGCAGCUCAAAGUGGGUGGUAAAUUCCAUCUAAAGCUAAAUAUUGGCGAGAGACCGAUAGCGAACAAGUACAGUGAUGGAAAGAUGAAAAGAACUUUGAAAAGAGAGUGAAAAAGUACGUGAAAUUGUUGAAAGGGAAGGGCAUUUGAUCAGACAUGGUGUUUUUUUAAUGUGCAAGUCUCUCGUGGACAUGUGCCUCUGGAAAUUAACACUGGGCCAACAUCAGUUCUGGCGGCAGGAUAAAUCAUUAAGAAUGUAGCUACCUCGGUAGUGUUAUAGCUUUUUGGAAUACUGCCAGCUGGGAUUGAGGACUGCGCUUCGGCAAGGAUGUUGGCAUAAUGGUUAAAUGCCGC